CCUGGCUCAGGAUGAACGCUAGCUACAGGCUUAACACAUGCAAGUCGAGGGGCAGCAUGGUCUUAGCUUGCUAAGGCCGAUGGCGACCGGCGCACGGGUGAGUAACACGUAUCCAACCUGCCGUCUACUCUUGGACAGCCUUCUGAAAGGAAGAUUAAUACAAGAUGGCAUCAUGAGUCCGCAUGUUCACAUGAUUAAAGGUAUUCCGGUAGACGAUGGGGAUGCGUUCCAUUAGAUAGUAGGCGGGGUAACGGCCCACCUAGUCUUCGAUGGAUAGGGGUUCUGAGAGGAAGGUCCCCCACAUUGGAACUGAGACACGGUCCAAACUCCUACGGGAGGCAGCAGUGAGGAAUAUUGGUCAAUGGGCGAGAGCCUGAACCAGCCAAGUAGCGUGAAGGAUGACUGCCCUAUGGGUUGUAAACUUCUUUUAUAAAGGAAUAAAGUCGGGUAUGGAUACCCGUUUGCAUGUACUUUAUGAAUAAGGAUCGGCUAACUCCGUGUCAGCAGCCGCGGUAAUACGGAGGAUCCGAGCGUUAUCCGGAUUUAUUGGGUUUAAAGGGAGCGUAGAUGGAUGUUUAAGUCAGUUGUGAAAGUUUGCGGCUCACCCGUAAAAUUGCAGUUGAUACUGGAUAUCUUGAGUGCAGUUGAGGCAGGCGGAAUUCGUGGUGUAGCGGUGAAAUGCUUAGAUAUCACGAAGAACUCCGAUUGCGAAGGCAGCCUGCUAAGCUGCAACUGACAUUGAGGCUCGAAAGUGUGGGUAUCAAACAGGAUUAGAUACCCUGGUAGUCCACACGGUAAACGAUGAAUACUCGCUGUUUGCGAUAUACUGCAAGCGGCCAAGCGAAAGCGUUAAGUAUUCCACCUGGGGAGUACGCCGGCAACGGUGAAACUCAAAGGAAUUGACGGGGGCCCGCACAAGCGGAGGAACAUGUGGUUUAAUUCGAUGAUACGCGAGGAACCUUACCCGGGCUUAAAUUGCAGAUGAAUUACGGUGAAAGCCGUAAGCCGCAAGGCAUCUGUGAAGGUGCUGCAUGGUUGUCGUCAGCUCGUGCCGUGAGGUGUCGGCUUAAGUGCCAUAACGAGCGCAACCCUUGUUGUCAGUUACUAACAGGUUCCGCUGAGGACUCUGACAAGACUGCCAUCGUAAGAUGUGAGGAAGGUGGGGAUGACGUCAAAUCAGCACGGCCCUUACGUCCGGGGCUACACACGUGUUACAAUGGGGGGUACAGAGGGCCGCUACCACGCGAGUGGAUGCCAAUCCCCAAAACCUCUCUCAGUUCGGACUGGAGUCUGCAACCCGACUCCACGAAGCUGGAUUCGCUAGUAAUCGCGCAUCAGCCACGGCGCGGUGAAUACGUUCCCGGGCCUUGUACACAC
Molecule: ribosomal RNA, 1377 nt
Filed under: uncultured bacterium
Lineage: Bacteria
Description: bacterial SSU rRNA
Rfam family: Bacterial small subunit ribosomal RNA
Source: RNAcentral